UUUAAAGUCUGACCUGCCCAAUGAGGAGUUGAAUGGCCGCGGUAAUUUGACCGUGCAAAGGUAGCAUAAUCAUUAGUUUUUUAAUUGAAAGCUGGAAUGAACGGUUGGACGAGAAAAUAACUGUCUCAAUUUAAUUGAAUGUAGAAUUUUAUUUAUAAGUAAAAAAGCUUAUAUGAGUUUAAAAGACGAGAAGACCCUAUAGAGUUUUAUAAUUUUUUAUAUUAAAGACGAUCAGUAUGUUUAUAUUUUUGAUAUAAAAAAUUAUUUUGCUGGGGCAGCAGAAAAAUUAAAUAAACUUUUUUUAUAUAUUUACAUUGAUUUAUGGUUUAAUGAUCCAUUAUUUAUGAUUACAAGAUUAAAUUACCUUAGGGAUAACAGCGUAAUUUUUUUUUAGAGUUCUUAUCGAAAAAAGAGUUUGCGACCUCGAUGUUGGAUUAAAAUUAACUUUUGGUGUAGGGGCUAGAGGGUUAGGUCUGUUCGACCUUUAAAAUUUUACAUGAUCUGAGUUUAAACCGGCGUGAGCCAGGUUGGUUUCUAUCUUUAAAAAAGUUGGAUAUCUUAGUACGAAAGGAUCAGAUAUUUUUAAAAUUUAAUAUAAUUUGAAUAGGAAUAAAAAAA
Molecule: ribosomal RNA, 618 nt
Filed under: Anomala dimidiata
Lineage: Eukaryota; Metazoa; Arthropoda; Insecta; Coleoptera; Scarabaeidae
Description: partial 16S ribosomal RNA
Rfam family: Bacterial large subunit ribosomal RNA
Source: RNAcentral